Molecule: transfer RNA, 67 nt
Filed under: Marmota monax (woodchuck)
Lineage: Eukaryota; Metazoa; Chordata; Mammalia; Rodentia; Sciuridae
Description: tRNA.Ala
Rfam family: tRNA
About the family: Transfer RNA (tRNA) molecules are approximately 80 nucleotides in length. Their secondary structure includes four short double-helical elements and three loops (D, anti-codon, and T loops).
Source: RNAcentral
GGUUGUGGCUCAGUGGUAGAGUGCUCGCCUGGCAUGCAUGAGGCACUGGGUUCAAUCCUCAGCACCA